This 253-nucleotide ribosomal RNA is filed under the name uncultured bacterium. RNAcentral describes it as "partial 16S ribosomal RNA". It matches the Rfam family "Bacterial small subunit ribosomal RNA", at positions 524 to 776 of the family's 1533-position model. The record is from RNAcentral.
UACGGAGGGAGCUAGCGUUAUUCGGAAUUAUUGGGCGUAAAGGGCGCGUAGGCGGCCUGGCAAGUGGAAGGUGAAAUCCCUCGGCUUAACCGAGGAACUGCCCUCCAAACUGCUUGGCUUGAGUCCGGGAGAGGUGAGUGGAAUUCCCAGUGUAGCGGUGAAAUGCGUAGAUAUUGGGAGGAACACCAGUGGCGAAGGCGGCUCACUGGACCGGAACUGACGCUGAGGCGCGAAAGCGUGGGGAGCAAACGGG